This 524-nucleotide ribosomal RNA is filed under the name uncultured bacterium. RNAcentral describes it as "partial 16S ribosomal RNA". It matches the Rfam family "Bacterial small subunit ribosomal RNA", at positions 28 to 523 of the family's 1533-position model. The record is from RNAcentral.
GACGAACGCUGGCGGCGUGCCUAAUACAUGCAAGUCGAACGCUUCUUUUUCCACCGGAGCUUGCUCCACCGGAAAAAGAGGAGUGGCGAACGGGUGAGUAACACGUGGGUAACCUGCCCAUCAGAAGGGGAUAACACUUGGAAACAGGUGCUAAUACCGUAUAACAAUCAAAACCGCAUGGUUUUGAUUUGAAAGGCGCUUUCGGGUGUCGCUGAUGGAUGGACCCGCGGUGCAUUAGCGAGUUGGUGAGGUAACGGCUCACCAAGGCCACGAUGGAUAGCCGACCUGAGAGGGUGGUCGGCCACAUUGAGACUGAGACACGGCCCAAACACCUACGGGAGGCAGCAGUAGGGAAGCUUCGGCAAUGGACGAAAGUCUGACCGAGCAACGCCGCGUGAGUGAAGAAGGUUUUCGGAUCGUAAAACUCUGUUGUUAGAGAAGAACAAGGAUGAGAGUAACUGUUCAUCCCUUGACGGUAUCUAACCAGAAAGCCACGGCUAACUACGUGCCAGCCGCCGCGGUAA